GGACCAGUGGGAGAAAAAGGAGCUCCAGGUCUUCCUGGAGAACAAGGGAUUGCUGGACCAACUGGAGCCAAAGGAGAAAAAGGAACCAACGGGGAACCAGGACCACCCGGGCCGAAAGGGGA
This is a long non-coding RNA of Nanorana parkeri, 122 nucleotides long. RefSeq lists it as uncharacterized. Lineage: Eukaryota; Metazoa; Chordata; Amphibia; Anura; Dicroglossidae. The transcript has 3 exons. The record is from RefSeq and is a predicted model, not a curated record.